GCUGGCGGCACGCCUAACACAUGCAAGUCGAGCGCUCUCUUCGGAGGGAGCGGCGGACGGGUUAGUAACGCGUGGGAACGUACCCUUUUCUACGGAAUAGCCUCGGGAAACUGAGAGUAAUACCGUAUACGCCCUCCGGGGGAAAGAUUUAUCGGAGAAGGAUCGGCCCGCGUUAGAUUAGAUAGUUGGUGGGGUAAUGGCCUACCAAGUCUACGAUCUAUAGCUGGUUUGAGAGGAUGAUCAGCAACACUGGGACUGAGACACGGCCCAGACUCCUACGGGAGGCAGCAGUGGGGAAUCUUAGACAAUGGGCGCAAGCCUGAUCUGGCGAUGCCGCGUGAGUGACGAAGGUCUUAGGAUCGUAAAGCUCUUUCGCCGGGGAAGAUAAUGACUGUACCCGGUAAAGAAGUCCCGGCUAACUCCGUGCCAGCAGCCGCGGUAAUACGGAGGGGACUAGCGUUGUUCGGAAUUACUGGGCGUAAAGCGCACGUAGGCGGAUUAGUCAGUCAGAGGUGAAAUCCCAGGGCUCAACCCUGGAACUGCCUUUGAUACUGCUAGUCUUGAGUUCGAGAGAGGUGAGUGGAAUUCCGAGUGUAGAGGUGAAAUUCGUAGAUAUUCGGAGGAACAC
RNAcentral lists this ribosomal RNA (628 nucleotides) under uncultured Paracoccaceae bacterium. Its description in RNAcentral is "bacterial SSU rRNA". It matches the Rfam family "Bacterial small subunit ribosomal RNA", at positions 35 to 709 of the family's 1533-position model. Lineage: Bacteria; Pseudomonadati; Pseudomonadota; Alphaproteobacteria; Rhodobacterales; Paracoccaceae. The record is from RNAcentral.